Molecule: ribosomal RNA, 254 nt
Filed under: uncultured bacterium
Lineage: Bacteria
Description: partial 16S ribosomal RNA
Rfam family: Bacterial small subunit ribosomal RNA
Source: RNAcentral
CGGCACGGGUGCGUAACGCGUAUGCAACCUACCAUCAACAGGGGGAUAACACUGAGAAAUUGGUACUAAUACCCCAUAAUAUCUCAUGCGGCAUCGCAUGGGGUUGAAACUCCGGUGGUUGAUGAUGGGCAUGCGUUGUAUUAGCUGGUUGGUGAGGUAACGGCUCACCAAGGCGACGAUACAUAGGGGGACUGAGAGGUUAACCCCCCACAUUGGUACUGAGACACGGACCAAACUCCUACGGGAGGCAGCAG